UGCGUAGGCGGUUGAUUAAGUCAGCGGUGAAAGUUUUGGGCUCAACCCAGAAAUUGCCAUUGAUACUGGUCGACUUGAGUAUUGCAGGGGUACAUGGAAUUGAUGGUGUAGCGGUGAAAUGCAUAGAUACCAUCAGGAACACCGAUAGCGAAGGCAUUGUACUGGGCAACCACUGACGCUGAUGCACGAAAGCAUGGGGAGCGAACAGGAUUAGAUACCCUGGUAGUCC
Molecule: ribosomal RNA, 229 nt
Filed under: uncultured bacterium
Lineage: Bacteria
Description: partial 16S ribosomal RNA
Rfam family: Bacterial small subunit ribosomal RNA
Source: RNAcentral